Long non-coding RNA from Arachis stenosperma, 4711 nucleotides. RefSeq lists it as uncharacterized. NCBI's taxonomy places the organism in Eukaryota, Viridiplantae, Streptophyta, Magnoliopsida, Fabales, Fabaceae. The record is from RefSeq and is a predicted model, not a curated record. The transcript has 5 exons.
UCCUCUCUAAAUUCCAAUGUCUCUAGCUCUUUCGCCUUCUAGAAACAACCACUCUAUUACCACCCCUGCCACUUCAUCGCCGCCGCCCUCACCAACCCACCCUCAGCCCGCCGCCAAUGAAAUCACUACAAUUCCCUCUUCCUCUGUCCCCAAUGCCAUCGAAGAUUCGUUGUUGUCAGCGUCUCCGCUAUGUUCUCGGAUCUCGAGUCUCACCUCUUUAGCUCUCUCGUAAGCUCUCAGAGAGACUUGGUGUUAAGGUUUGGCUCAAAAGGAAGGACUUGCAAGAUGAUGAUUUGGAUGACGAUGACUUCGACGCCGUUGUUUCCAUGGUUCGUUCCAUAAACAUUAACGAUCGCACCUAUAUAUGAUCCCAAACCUCAUCUUCCACUUCCUUAGCGAUUACUGUUGCUCCUCAGCCCUUGUCCUUGCUGGAGGAGCUCUCCUUCCAUGACAAAAAUUGCCACAGCUCCAUUGAACGGCGUUUGCCAUCUCCAACGAGACACGCUAGCAAGAACUCUUUCUUCUCCUCCUCUUACAAAGGCUUUGACAAACGCAAACUUCGAGCCGAGGCCCUAAUCAUCGCAUGCAAAGUUAGGAUGGGUGUUGGGCACACUACUUUGAGUCGUUUGAUGACUCAUAUCUUCCUGGGAGAUGAUAGUAAUGAUGACAGCUUGGCAACCCCUAUCGUUGAGCCCAAGGUUCUACCAGCCGAUGAGGGUGAAGCUCCGUUGCAGUCUCUGACCCAGAUAACUCCCAGUGACACUGUUGCUGGGGAAGCUGAUCGGGGUAAAGAGAUCGGGGUUGAGCCCAAAGCGGAGGUGAUCGUCAUCCCCAAUCACAAGAAGAAGAAGAAUGACAUCGGCUUGGAACAAGUUCUCACAGUGAUGGAGAAAAACUUCGAUGUGGGAUUAUUCAUCAACUCUUAACUCCUCCCGAGCACUGAGAAAUUCUUCUAGGAAGAAGACCUGGCUACCCAAGUGAGGUGGACAUACCAAAGCCUCCUCUGGAAAGCCGCCAUUGCCAGAAAGGUGGAACUCGUGUUGGCCCAGGGCUAGGUUUUGGAAGGGAAACAUAGGGCUGUCCAGAGGGAUAUCGCUAACCUGAAGGCUGAGGGGGAGUCCCUGAAGACCCGGCUUGCCGAAAAGGAGAAAAAGGCGAAGGAAGCUGCCGAGGAGAUCAACCACCUUGUGGAACGAGACCUCACUCUCUCCAAACAGCUCAAUGAAGCCCAAGGCUGGGCUGUCAUAGCAGAGAAUAAAGUGAAAGAGCUGGAGAAAAAGCUGGAAGAGGUCGUGAAGUCAGCAGACUCCGCUCGACAGGCCGCUACCAUGAAAAAGAAGAAUAAGGAGAUCCUUAAGGACGUUAGGGAGGCUAUCACCGCUACCGAGGAGGCGAUCAAGGCUUAGGUCUCUCUCCUCGUUCUCGACUUCGACACUUUGGCUAUCAGUGCCAUCAAAAUGAUUCAAGAUGGAAAGGUUGUCAACAUCCCGAAGAAGUGAAGUGUUUUAUCACUUGUAAUCCUUUGUACUCUUUUUGAACUCUUUUUGUUAUUGGGCUGAUGUGAUACCCCUUGCAUGUAAUUGAACAAUGUUUCUUUUUUGGUUGUUGGGAUGACAUGAUGCCCUUUUGAGCUACUGCUUUAACGAUUUCGACUCUUAUAAGUAGAAUCUUUGUGUUAUUUUGGUCGCUUUAUCGCUAUGUUUCCUCCUUGUUUGAACGUUAAGCUAUAACUUGAUGGAUAUCUAUAUAUCGUUGCUUUCAGGUUCCUGGGGUGAUCAUUCUUGGGAAAACAUGCUUAUAACUUGGUAAUAAUGAAUGAAUAAAUAAAAGAAAAAAUAAAUUUCAAAAUCAACACGUAAUCACUUUUUAACAAUGGGCCUCGUUAAAACCCCUUGCCGACGUCCUACUCUGAUGACAAGGGAAAAGAGUACCCCUUCUUUAAUAAUAUAUAAUGAGACAAGUGAUUUGAUGAGACAAAGUAAAUUAUGGUAAAUGAAAGUAAGAGAUAAAAAAGGGACAACUGGUUUGGACGGGAGGUUGUUAAGCCUUUAGGAGUAAAAUCUCCUAAGGUUUGUUGCAUUCCAAGUCCUCGGGACCUCCUUCCUGUCUAACUGCUCAAACUUGUAGGCUCUCUUUCUGUGGACUUACUUUUCCCUGUAGGGCCUUUCCCAGUUAGGGGAGAGCUUGCAUUCUCCAGGAUCGGUGGACCGAUGUUGUUGCGUCGUAGUACCAAGUCACCCUCUUCGAACCUCUUGGCUUGCACCUUCCGAUUGUAACGCAAUGCCAAACUUUGCUUUAGUGCCGCUUUUGACAAGUGAGGCACUCCCAGGUUCAUCUAUCAGGUCUUUCUCAAUUGCCUUAUCGCUUCCAUCGAGGAGUAACCUUGAGCUCGGUUUUCCAAUUCCUACAGGAAUCACUACAUCGACGCCAUAAGUAAACCGGAAGGGCGUCUCCCUGGUAGAAGAUUGUGGGGUUGUUCUGUAAGGCCACAGGACAGAGGCUAACUCGUCUGUCCAAGAGCCCUUUCUCUGAUCCAAGCGCUUAUUCAGCUCAUUGAGGAUUGUAAGACCCAAGACUUUUGAAAAGUUCUAUUUUGAACUAAUCUCAAAUUAUAUAUGUUUAUUUAUAGUUUUUAUUUCAAAAAUUAUUUUUAUUGAAAAAUAGUUAAAGGCAAUUAAUUGGAUUUAAAAUAAAUUAAGAUUUUUAUCUAAACUCUAUUCCUAAGGAUUAUUUUCCUAUUUAUGAUUUAAAGUUUUAGAGAUUUGAAAAUAAUGGAGUUUGGCUAUUUAAAUUAGAAUUUUGUCUAAUUUUAUAAUUAUUGAAUUAUUUUCUAUAUUUAAAUUAUAAAAUUAGUGGUUAUGAAAUAAUAAGAAUUUUAUAAGAUUUGAUUUUAGAUAAUUUAAUUUAUAUCAUUUAAUACUUUAAGUUAAAGAUAAAGAAAAAAUAAUUAUAUUAUCAUGAAUUUUCAAUUAGAGUAAUUUAUUGAAAAUCAAUUAGUAUUUUUAUACUACAAAUAAUAUUUUAAAGUAACUUUAGAGAUUAAAUUAGUUUUUCAAUAUUAAUAUCUUAUGCUCUAAUUUUAUUAAAAUUAUCAAAUUAUCCUUAUACCUAAUUUUUACCAAAACCCUAAAUCCCCAAAAUAUCACGCUAAUCCUAAUUCUACCCUAACCCUUAGCCACCACCGCCACACCCCCCAAACCCUUCAGCCAAACUUCAGCCACUAACCAAGAAAGAAAUGAAAAAAAAAAGAAAGAAAGGGGGAAAGAGGGAACGGGAGAGCAGAGGGGAAGAGAGAUCGGUGAGGGAGAAGAGUAGAGGGAGGAGCUACAUCGCCAUCACCGGCCUUGGGCUCGCCGCCGUUCAUACCCCGUUGCGUCACCACCCAGCCGUCUCCAGCCCACCGCCAGUCGCUGUUGUCUUCACCAAGGGAGGAGAGAGAAAAAGGCGAACGCGAGGAGAGAGAGAGAGAGGGAGCUCGCGAGGAAGCUGCCGCCUUCGAAGCUGGGUUCGUCGUUGCCGUUAGAGUCCGCAUCACUAUCGAACUUGCUGCUGUCACCGAGGGGAAGCCCGUCGCCGCCAGCUUCGUCGGGUCCCCGCCGCCGAGCCCGUCUUUGCCACCGCCACUGGAAGCGCGAAGAGAGAACGCGCGAGGGAAACUGUCGCAGAGCUGCCGUCGCCGCCGCGUUGCUGGGCUCGCCGUCGUCCUGCCCGCGCGGCUGCUGCGUUGCCGGAGCUCCUCGCCGCCGCUGUUGACGACGGAAACUGCCUUCCAAGCCUGUGUCUGUUGGUUAUACGGUCACCACGAGUUUCUCUGUCGCCGUCCAAGCUGCCACCAGAAGGAUCCACCACAGCCUCCUCUGUUCUUGUCUUCGAAUUAGAACUGCCCUUUUCCACUGAAUAUGUCUGUUUGAAAAAUUAAAAUGGGUGCUGCUGCCACCGGUUCGGUCACAUUGGAAUCACUGCUGCUGCCAUAAAACAGAAAGGGAAGGGAGUUACUAUGUUUAACCUGUGUGAAUUCAACUAGUUGAGGAACCGGAUGAAGAAGCAUUAAGAAGAGUUAUACUGCGUCUGGUUUAUAAGAUGUUGUAUUAAUUAGAUGUUUUCUCCCCUCGUCUUUGUUAUUACAAGUGUGUAAGAGGGAUAGGAAUUGUAUGUUUUAUAUGUAUAUUAUAUUAUGAGUUAUUAUGUAAAGAGUCUUGUAUAUGAAUCUAUGCCUGUUUGUAUUUUUCUUAAGAUAAAGUGUGUAUUUUUUUUGGUUCUUUUGAAGAAAUCAGCGAUACAGUGUCAGGCCACAGGCUCCUAUUUUAGUAUUUCGUAUGUAAAGUAGUCGUAAUACUUCUUCCUAUCAGAGUGGCGCAGCCGGAAGCGUGAGUUCUGAUAGUGAGGGUGUUACAUUAUGGUAUCAGAGCGGUCUUUUCUGUAGAGCCUGAGGAAUGGACCGAUUAUGCUUCAAUUGCAUACUCUGAGAGUCAGUCAUGUAGUAGGUCUUGUUUGGAUAACGAGAAUAGAGUUUUAAGUACAUGACAGUCUUUUGAUAAAUACCAUUAAUCUUGCAUUGCAUAAUUCUUGGUAUUAAGUUUGGCCAGCUUAACACUAGUGAAUUAUGUAUAUGUAAGCAUUAAUGGGUUAUCAUGGACAAUAUGCGAGUCAUAAAUAAUGCGAAUCGCGGGUUUUGGGAACGUUAAGAGUUAAAUCUUGAGGUUACUCGGUU